UGAGAGGUGAAAUGGAUUUCGCCUGAGGAUGGGCCCGCGUCUGAUUAGCUAGUUGGUGGGGUAAAGGCCUACCAAGGCGACGAUCAGUAGCUGGUCUGAGAGGAUGAUCAGCCACACUGGGACUGAGACACGGCCCAGACUCCUACGGGAGGCAGCAGUGGGGAAUUUUCCGCAAUGGGCGAAAGCCUGACGGAGCAACGCCGCGUGAGGGAUGAAGGCCUCUGGGCUGUAAACCUCUUUUCUCAAGGAAGAAGACCUGACGGUACUUGAGGAAUAAGCCACGGCUAAUUCCGUGCCAGCAGCCGCGGUAAUACGGGAGUGGCAAGCGUUAUCCGGAAUUAUUGGGCGUAAAGCGUCCGCAGGUGGCCCUGUAAGUCUGUCGUUAAAGCGUGGAGCUUAACUCCAUUUAAGCGAUGGAAACUACAGGGCUAGAGUGUGGUAGGGGCAGAGGGAAUUCCCGGUGUAGCGGUGAAAUGCGUAGAUAUCGGGAAGAACACCAGUGGCGAAGGCGCUCUGCUGGGCCAUCACCGACACUCAUGGACGAAAGCCAGGGGAGCGAAAGGGAUUAGAUACCCCUGUAGUCCUGGCCGUAAACGAUGAACACUAGGUGUCGGGGGAAUCGACCCCCUCGGUGUCGUAGCCAACGCGUUAAGUGUUCCGCCUGGGGAGUACGCACGCAAGUGUGAAACUCAAAGGAAUUGACGGGGGCCCGCACAAGCGGUGGAGUAUGUGGUUUAAUUCGAUGCAACGCGAAGAACCUUACCAGGGUUUGACAUCCUGCGAAUCCCUUGGAAACGAGGGAGUGCCUUCGGGAGCGCAGAGACAGGUGGUGCAUGGCUGUCGUCAGCUCGUGUCGUGAGAUGUUGGGUUAAGUCCCGCAACGAGCGCAACCCACGUCGUUAGUUGCCAGCAUUCAGUUGGGCACUCUAGCGAGACCGCCGGUGAUAAACCGGAGGAAGGUGUGGAUGACGUCAAGUCAUCAUGCCCCUUACAUCCUGGGCUACACACGUACUACAAUGCUACGGACAAAGGGCAGCAAACUCGCGAGAGCUAGCAAAUCCCAUAAACCGUGGCUCAGUUCAGAUCGUAGGCUGCAACUCGCCUACGUGAAGGAGGAAUCGCUAGUAAUCGCAGGUCAGCAUACUGCGGUGAAUACGUUCCCGGGCCUUGUACACACCGCCCGUCACACCAUGGAAGUUGGCCACGCCCGAAGUCGUUACUCCAACCCUUGUGGAGGAGGACGCCGAAGGUGGGGCUGAUGACU
This 1264-nucleotide ribosomal RNA is filed under the name metagenome. Its description in RNAcentral is "bacterial SSU rRNA". It matches the Rfam family "Bacterial small subunit ribosomal RNA", at positions 193 to 1476 of the family's 1533-position model. The record is from RNAcentral.